RNAcentral lists this ribosomal RNA (252 nucleotides) under uncultured bacterium. RNAcentral's name for it is "partial 16S ribosomal RNA". It matches the Rfam family "Bacterial small subunit ribosomal RNA", at positions 525 to 776 of the family's 1533-position model. The record is from RNAcentral.
ACAGAGGGUGCGAGCGUUAAUCGGAAUUACUGGGCGUAAAGCGCGCGUAGGCGGACUAUUAAGUCAGAUGUGAAAUCUUUGGGCUCAACCCAAAAACUGCAUUUGAUACUGGUAGCCUAGAGUAUGGUAGAGGGAGGUGGAAUUUCCGGUGUAGCGGUGAAAUGCGUAGAUAUCGGAAGGAAUAUCAGUGGCGAAGGCGACCUCCUGGGCCAAUACUGACGCUGAGGUGCGAAAGCGUGGGGAGCAAACAGG